This 518-nucleotide ribosomal RNA is filed under the name uncultured bacterium. Its description in RNAcentral is "partial 16S ribosomal RNA". It matches the Rfam family "Bacterial small subunit ribosomal RNA", at positions 28 to 523 of the family's 1533-position model. The record is from RNAcentral.
GGUUAAUGCUAGCGGUGCGCCUAACGCAUGCAAGUCGAACGGAGAAUUUAUUUCGGUAAAUUCUUAGUGGCGAACGGGUGAGUAACGCGUGGGCAACCUGCCCUUCAGAUGGGGACAACAUCCCGAAAGGGGUGCUAAUACCGAAUACGAUCACGCUGCCGCAUGGCGGUGUGAUGAAAGAUGGCCUCUAUUUAUAAGCUAUCGCUGAAGGAUGGGCCUGGGUCUGAUUAGCUAGUUGGUGGGGUAACGGCCUACCAAGGCGAUGAUCAGUAGCCGGUCUGAGAGGAUGAAGGGCCACAUUGGGACUGAGACACGGCCCAAACUCCUACGGGAGGCAGCAGUAGGGAAUAUUCCGCAAUGGACGAAAGUCUGACGGAGCAACGCCGCGUGAGUGACGAAGGUUUUCGGACUGUAAAACUCUGUUGUUUAGGACGAAAGUGCCUGUUGCAAAUAGUUGCAGGUAUUGACGGUACUGAACGAGGAAGCCACGGCUAACUACGUGCCAGCCGCCGCCGUAA